This is a long non-coding RNA of Podarcis raffonei (Aeolian wall lizard), 270 nucleotides long. RefSeq lists it as uncharacterized. NCBI's taxonomy places the organism in Eukaryota, Metazoa, Chordata, Lepidosauria, Squamata, Lacertidae. The record is from RefSeq and is a predicted model, not a curated record. The transcript has 2 exons.
GAACAGCCAGGCUAGCUUCCUGAUGAUAUGUGAAGAGAACAAAGGGAGAUGGCAAAUGGGUGGGGCCCCUUCCUCAACUUGCAGAUAGGAGAAGGACAAAAGCCACAGGAAAAGUAGAAUACAAACAUUAGCCACUGUGGGAACAAGAUUCUGGACCAGAUGGACCAUUGGUGUGAUCUAGCAGGGUCUCCUUAAGUUCUUAAAAGGGCUGUCCAUGAACAAGGACAGAGCCUCCUCAAGCAAGCAACAACAUGAUGCUUUUGGAAAGUG